Molecule: ribosomal RNA, 292 nt
Filed under: uncultured bacterium
Lineage: Bacteria
Description: partial 16S ribosomal RNA
Rfam family: Bacterial small subunit ribosomal RNA
Source: RNAcentral
GUGCCAGCAGCCGCGGUAAGACGAGGGACCCUAGCGUUGUUCGGAAUCAUUGGGCGUAAAGCGGGUGUAGGUGGCUUUGUAAGUCAGGUGUGAAAUCCCAGGGCUCAACCCUGGAAGUGCAUUUGAUACUGCGAAGCUUGAGUGCCGGAGAGGUUACUGGAAUACCUGGUGUAGUGGUGAAAUACGUAGAUAUCAGGUGGAACACCGGAGGCGAAGGCGGGUAACUGGCCGGACACUGACACUCAGACCCGAAAGCGUGGGGAUCAAACAGGAUUAGAUACCCUAGUAGUCC